GAUCAUUACUGAACUUAAGUAAUUCUCUUGAAAGGCCGCCGUCGGGUUUGGUCCCCCCCCCAAAAAGGGGGGCCGCCCCCGACGGUCCUCUCACACCCCUUGUGUACCUUACCACGUUGCUUUGGCGGGCCGACCCGGUUUCGACCCGGGCGGCUGGCGUGCCCCCAGCCCUCACCGGCCAGGACUCCCGGCCAAGUGCCCGCCAGUAUACAAAACUCCAGCGAUUAUUUCAGUGUAGUCCUGAUAAAUUAUUCAAUUAAUUAAAACUUUCAACAACGGAUCUCUUGGUUCUGGCAUCGAUGAAGAACGCAGCGAAAUGCGAUAAGUAAUGUGAAUUGCAGAAUUCAGUGAAUCAUCGAAUCUUUGAACGCACAUUGCGCCCUCUGGUAUUCCGGAGGGCAUGCCUGUUCGAGCGUCAUUUCAACCCUCAAGCUCUGCUUGGUAUUGGGCGACGUCCGGCUCCUUGCCGGACGCGCCUCGAAGACCUCGGCGACGGCGUCCAAGCCUCGAGCGUAGUAGUAAAAUAUCUCGCUUUGGAGGACUGGAUGUUGGCCGCCGGACAAUCGACCUUCGGUCUAUUUUACUUUCCAAGGUUGACCUCGGAUCAGGUAGGGAUACCCGCUGAACUUAAGCAUAUCAAUAAGCGGAGGAAAAGAAACCAACAGGGAUUGCCUUAGUAACGGCGAGUGAAGCGGCAAUAGCUCAAAUUUGAAAGCUGGCGUCUUCGACGUCCGCGUUGUAAUUUGUAGAGGAUGCUUCGGCGAGGACUCCUGCCUAAGUCCCCUGGAACGGGGCGUCACAGAGGGUGAGAAUCCCGUAUGUGGCGGGCGGUCCGAGCCAUGUGAAGCUCCUUCGACGAGUCGAGUUGUUUGGGAAUGCAGCUCUAAAUGGGAGGUAAAUUUCUUCUAAAGCUAAAUAUUGGCCAGAGACCGAUAGCGCACAAGUAGAGUGAUCGAAAGAUGAAAAGCACUUUGGAAAGAGAGUUAAAAAGUACGUGAAAUUGUUGAAAGGGAAGCGCUUGCAACCAGACUCGCUCGCAGUUGCUCAGCCGGCCUCUUGGCCGGUGUACUCUUCUGCGAUCGGGCCAGCAUCAGUUCGGGCGGCCGGAUAAAGGUGUCGGGAAUGUAGCACCCUUCGGGGUGUGUUAUAGCCCGGCGCGGAAUGCGGCCAGCCUGGACUGAGGAUCUC
Molecule: ribosomal RNA, 1188 nt
Filed under: Dothideomycetes sp. genotype 509
Lineage: Eukaryota; Fungi; Ascomycota; Dothideomycetes
Description: eukaryotic LSU rRNA
Rfam family: Eukaryotic large subunit ribosomal RNA (bases 595-1188)
Source: RNAcentral